GCCGGUCCAAUUUGUAAGUCGCUCUGGAUAAGAGUGUCUGCUAAAUGACGUAAA
Molecule: non-coding RNA, 54 nt
Organism: Salmo salar (Atlantic salmon)
Lineage: Eukaryota; Metazoa; Chordata; Actinopteri; Salmoniformes; Salmonidae
Source: Rfam